This 339-nucleotide unclassified non-coding RNA is filed under the name soil metagenome. Its description in RNAcentral is "partial contains 5.8S ribosomal RNA, internal transcribed spacer 2, and large subunit ribosomal RNA". The stretch from base 1 to 120 matches the Rfam family "5.8S ribosomal RNA", at positions 35 to 154 of the family's 154-position model. The record is from RNAcentral.
GAUGAAGAACGCAGCGAAACGCGAUAACUAAUGUGAAUUGCAGAAUUCAGUGAAUCAUCGAGUCUUUGAACGCACAUUGCGCCCCCUGGUAUUCCGGGGGGCAUGCCUGUCCGAGCGUCAUUGCUGCCCUCAAGCACGGCUUGUGUGUUGGGCUCCGUCCCCCCGGGGACGGGCCCGAAAGGCAGCGGCGGCACCGAGUCCGGUCCUCGAGCGUAUGGGGCUUUGUCACCCGCUCUGUAGGCCCGGCCGGCGCCAGCCGACAACCCAUCAUCCUUUUCAGGUUGACCUCGGAUCAGGUAGGGAUACCCGCUGAACUUAAGCAUAUCAAUAAGCGGAGGA